GAUGAACGCUGGCGGCGUGCCUAACACAUGCAAGUCGAACGGACAGGCGCUGCUUUUGCGGGGUGCACGAGUGGCGAAGGGGUGAGUAACACGUGAGUAAACUGCACUUGACUUUGGGAUAACUUUAGGAAAAAGGGGCUAAUACCGGAUAGGAGAUCUUGCUGCACGGUGGGGGUUGGAAAGUUUCGGCGGUUGUGGAUGGACUCGCGGCUUAUCAGCUAGUUGGUGGGGUAGUUGCUUCCCAAGGUUUUGACGGCUAGGCCACCUGGGAGCGUGACCGGCCACAUGGCGACUGCGAUACGCCCCAGACGCCUACCGGCGGCAGCGGUCGGAAACAUGGCGCAGUAGGCCCGAGCCUGAUACGGCGACCCCGCGAGCGGAAUGACGGCCUUCUGGUGAUGAACCGCUGUCGCCUGAAACAUGGCGUGAGUGACGGUAAUGAAUCAGAAAGCCCCGGCUAACUACGUG
Molecule: ribosomal RNA, 468 nt
Filed under: uncultured bacterium
Lineage: Bacteria
Description: partial 16S ribosomal RNA
Rfam family: Bacterial small subunit ribosomal RNA
Source: RNAcentral